Molecule: long non-coding RNA, 173 nt
Organism: Exaiptasia diaphana
Lineage: Eukaryota; Metazoa; Cnidaria; Anthozoa; Actiniaria; Aiptasiidae
Exons: 2
Source: RefSeq, a predicted model, not a curated record
UCUACAGAAACGAAAAGCGAGGCAAGCCCUGUUUCAACGCAAGGCAAUUGCAAUACUAAAGUUGGUGUACUGAGCGCGUUCUUGGCUCUUUCUUUGAUCACCAUUGUAAUGCUCUUGGCUUUCAUGAUAUGGAAACAUAGGAGGACGAACUCACAAAACUCAAAACUACAAGA